This is a long non-coding RNA of Ornithorhynchus anatinus (platypus), 439 nucleotides long. RefSeq lists it as uncharacterized. The transcript has 3 exons. The record is from RefSeq and is a predicted model, not a curated record. Lineage: Eukaryota; Metazoa; Chordata; Mammalia; Monotremata; Ornithorhynchidae.
GCACAUAGAGAAGCAGCAUAGAGAUACGCAGAGGGAAGUACUUGGAGCAGAAGCAGUAUGGAGAAGGAAGCAUUGAAGAAGCAUCGGCAGAACGGGCUCCCUUGACCAGCAGACUGGACCCUUUGCGGAGACCAUGGUAGAAAAUGAAAUGUCGACUGAAUAAUUCCAAAGGCUGGCAUAUCAAUGAACUGUAUUGGAAGAAAUCUAUGCUUUUUAAAAACGUUCUUGGUGUCCCAAGAUCAUGGAUUGUUAUAAAAAAAACUCCUCGGAAAUUUAUUUGCAACGUCUGCCCAGCAGAGGGUACCAUUUUACUACAAACUUUCACUAUCUGGUGUCUUCUCACCCAGUGAAGAUGGGCAAAGAAAUCGUCUUUUUUUCCAAUCCUCAUGGACUUCUGUAUUCCAAAAAUUCUCAACAAAUAAUAAAGGCUCUGCUCUAA